Molecule: ribosomal RNA, 814 nt
Filed under: uncultured bacterium
Lineage: Bacteria
Description: bacterial SSU rRNA
Rfam family: Bacterial small subunit ribosomal RNA
Source: RNAcentral
GCUGGCGGAAUGCGUGGUGUAGCGGUGAAAUGCUUAGAUAUCACGCGGAACGCCGAUUGCGAAGGCAGCUGGCCGGGCCGAGAUUGACGCUGAGGCACGAAAGCGUGGGGAUCAAACAGGAUUAGAUACCCUGGUAGUCCACGCCGUAAACGAUGAUCACUGGAUGUUGGCGAUACACCGUCAGCGUCUGAGCGAAAGCAUUAAGUGAUCCACCUGGGGAGUACGGUCGCAAGAUUGAAACUCAAAGGAAUUGACGGGGGCCCGCACAAGCGGAGGAACAUGUGGUUUAAUUCGAUGAUACGCGAGGAACCUUACCUGGGCUCGAACGCAGGGGGAGUCACGGUGAAAGCCGUGAGCCAGCAAUGGCCGCCUGCGAGGUGCUGCAUGGUUGUCGUCAGCUCGUGCCGUGAGGUGUCGGGUUAAGUCCCAUAACGAGCGCAACCCCUACUGCUAGUUGCCAGCGGAUCAUGCCGGGGACUCUAGCGGAACUGCCAGCGUAAGCUGUGAGGAAGGUGGGGAUGACGUCAAAUCAGCACGGCCCUUACGUCCAGGGCUACACACGUGUUACAAUGGCCAGUACAGAGGGCAGCCACCCCGCGAGGGGGCGCGAAUCCCAAAAGCUGGUCCCAGUUCGGAUCGGAGUCUGUAACCCGACUCCGUGAAGCUGGAUUCGCUAGUAAUCGCGCAUCAGCCACGGCGCGGUGAAUACGUUCCCGGGCCUUGUACACACCGCCCGUCAAGCCAUGGAAGCUUGGGGUACCUGAAGUCCGUGACCGAAAGGAGCGGCCUAGGGUAAAACAGGUAACUAGGGCUA